Molecule: long non-coding RNA, 1098 nt
Organism: Malus domestica (apple)
Lineage: Eukaryota; Viridiplantae; Streptophyta; Magnoliopsida; Rosales; Rosaceae
Source: RefSeq, a predicted model, not a curated record
UUCUCAAAGGUUCCUCAGUGCUCCAUUUUUCAAUAGCCUUCCUCAGCGUUUUUGUCCUCGCGCUCCAUGCGUCUCUUCUCCUCUGCUUUCACGUUGUUUGGACUGUUCUUCACUAUCGUGUUCUGCCAUUUUUUAACCCUUGGUGGCUUUUCUUUUGUUAAUCUUUGUGUUCGCAGGUGUGGAGUCAUUUUGCAAGGGUAAAAUUCAUCGGCCGGUCAAGGUUAUUUAGCUUGGUGGGUUGGGUUGUACGGAUUUUCAGAUUGGUGAAUGUAAUUUCUCUGCCUGUACUUAAUGCAGUUCCAACUUUUCUACAAGCUUGAUACUGUGAAAUGAACCUUUCUGGUCAAUAAAAAGUUUUCUCCCCUGUAGCCUGUACUCAUGCAGUUCCAACUUUUCUGCAAGCUCGAUACUGUGAAAUGAACCUUUUUGGUCAAUAAAAAGAAACUUGGUUCUAAGGCAAGUUGGAAAUGCACAAAAGUUUGAUUGCAUCCUAUAGAAUUACCAGAGGUGGUCAUCUCCAUUUCAUGCAAAAUCAGACUUCUUUCUACACACAAAAACAGUAGGGAAGAGCAUGGUGACAUGUGCUUUGGGUGGGAGUUGUACAUUCUUGAAGCAGAACAUCGUGCGGAGAACAUUCAGAUGAUUGGAACCAUGGGUUAAGAAAAAGGGUCCAAAUUCAGAGUUGCGUUCUUCUUCCCUCAAAAUAAGAAGAAAACACUUCCUCAGCAUCAUAUUUUGGCACCUCAGGAUCAACCUGGGGAAGAACAGAACAAAGCAGAGCACAAGCAUUAUCAAUUUAUUUGCUGAAGUAUUGCAGGCUUGCAGCUAUCUACACGACUUCAACGAGCCACACCAAGCUUACAACAGGUUUGCACACCUGUAAAGCUCCCUCUUCCUCUUUCCCUCCCUCCAUUUUUUUUUUCUUACAAGUUUCGUGUUAACAUCAAUUUGUACAUUGAUGAAAUAGGAACAGCUAGAUUUUGAACAACUAUUUAUAUAUAUGUAGAGUUGUCAAUAACUAUUAUAUACAUUUUAUAAAUACUUUGUACAUAUUUUGUAUAAAUACUUUUUACAUAUUUACACAACGGUUACAACACA